AGAGUUUGAUCCUGGCUCAGAAUCAACGCUGGCGGCGUGCCUAACACAUGCAAGUCGAACGAGAAAGUCUCCGCAAGGGGAUGAGUAAAGUGGCGACCGGGUGAGUAACACGUAGCUAACCUACCCUCAAGCGGGGGAUAACCUGGGGAAACCUGGGCUAAUACCGCAUGACAUCCCGACAGCGAUGCCGUUGGGAGCAAAGGCCCGCAAGGGCCGCUGGAGGAGGGGGCUGCGGCCGAUUAGCUAGUUGGUGAGGUAACGGCCCACCAAGGCGAUGAUCGGUAGCCGGCCUGAGAGGGCGCACGGCCACACUGGCACUGACACACGGGCCAGACUCCUACGGGAGGCAGCAGUGGGGAAUUUUGCACAAUGCCCGAAAGGGUGAUGCAGCAACGCCGCG
Molecule: ribosomal RNA, 400 nt
Filed under: uncultured bacterium
Lineage: Bacteria
Description: bacterial SSU rRNA
Rfam family: Bacterial small subunit ribosomal RNA
Source: RNAcentral